UCUUCCCCGUGCCCUUCCCUUCCCUGCAAUCCAAACACCCAAAACCAACCCGUCUUCUACCUCAUCACCAGAGCCCAAGGCUCAAUCAGCCUUUUAGCUUUCUAGGUAUAAAUACCAUUUCCAACUCCCUACCAGACAGGGAAACACUCACAGGGUCACAGUCGCAGCCACACCCGCAGCGAAAGAGGGAAACCAGCUCUCCGGCACAUGUUUGAAGCUGGGUUUUGCUACGGCCAUGUGAGGUUCGAAGCUGUGUUUUGCUGCGACCCUGUGAGGUUCGAAGGUCGCGGCUGCGUUUUUCAUGGGUUGUAGAAGUUGUGGGUUGAUGUAGAAGAUGUGGGCUGGGAGUCUCAGGAGGGAGAAGAGGGGUGGGGAGGGGUUGCGGGGAAGGUGGAGUGGGUUCUGCGUUUUUCAGUUUUUUUUUUUUUUUUUUUUUUUUUUAGAAGAUUCAGGUUUUUUUUAGGUAGUAGCCACCCGCACUUAACAGAUCAAUGGAUAGAAAAUGUAAUAGAUGUAUUAUUUUGAAAUAAAAUAGUAUUUGAGGUAUGAAA
Malus domestica (apple) is the source of this 551-nucleotide long non-coding RNA. RefSeq lists it as uncharacterized. NCBI's taxonomy places the organism in Eukaryota, Viridiplantae, Streptophyta, Magnoliopsida, Rosales, Rosaceae. The record is from RefSeq and is a predicted model, not a curated record.